Molecule: ribosomal RNA, 407 nt
Filed under: uncultured bacterium
Lineage: Bacteria
Description: partial 16S ribosomal RNA
Rfam family: Bacterial small subunit ribosomal RNA
Source: RNAcentral
GACGAACGCUGGCGGCGUGCCUAAUACAUGCAAGUAGAACGCAGUUUCGAACGGGUGAGUAACGCGUAUGUAACUGCCUCAUAGCGGGGGAUCACUAUUGGAAACGAUAGCUAAUUCCGCAUACUGUGAGUUGGCCCUGCGUUGUAUUAGCUAGUUGGUGAGGUAAAGGCUCACCAAGGCGACGAUACAUAGCCGUACUGAGAGGGAGGGCGGCUAGACUGCGACAGAGACACGGCCAAGUCUCCUUAGGGAGGCAGCAGUAGGGAAUCGUUGCGAAUGGACGGAAGUCUGACCGAGCGACGGCGCGUGAGUGAAGAAGGUUUUCGGAUCGUAAAGCUCAGUUGUUAGAGAAGGGGUAACUAACCAGAAAGGGACGGCUAACUACGUGCCAGCAGCGGCGGUAAAAC